GGCGGCGUGCUUAACACAUGCAAGUCGAACGAUGAACUGGAGCUUGCUCCAGGGGAUUAGUGGCGAACGGGUGAGUAACACGUGAGUAACCUGCCCUUGACUCUGGGAUAAGCGCUAGAAAUGGCGUCUAAUACCGGAUACGAGCUUCAGCCGCAUGGCUAGGAGUUGGAAAGAAUUUUGGUCAAGGAUGGACUCGCGGCCUAUCAGCUAGUUGGUGAGGUAGUGGCUCACCAAGGCGACGACGGGUAGCCGGCCUGAGAGGGUGACCGGCCACACUGGGACUGAGACACGGCCCAGACUCCUACGGGAGGCAGCAGUGGGGAAUAUUGCACAAUGGGCGAAAGCCUGAUGCAGCAACGCCGCGUGAGGGAUGACGGCCUUCGGGUUGUAAACCUCUUUUAGUAGGGAAGAAGCGAAAGUGACGGUACCUGCAGAAAAAGCACCGGCUAACUACGUGCCAGCAGCCGCGGUAAUACGUAGGGUGCAAGCGUUGUCCGGAAUUAUUGGGCGUAAAGAGCUCGUAGGCGGUUUGUCGCGUCUGCUGUGAAAUCUGGGGGCUCAACCCCCAGCCUGCAGUGGGUACGGGCAGACUAGAGUGCGGUAGGGGAGAUUGGAAUUCCUGGUGUAGCGGUGGAAUGCGCAGAUAUCAGGAGGAACACCGAUGGCGAAGGCAGAUCUCUGGGCCGUAACUGACGCUGAGGAGCGAAAGCAUGGGGAGCGAACAGGAUUAGAUACCCUGGUAGUCCAUGCCGUAAACGUUGGGAACUAGAUGUGGGGGCCAUUCCACGGUCUCCGUGUCGCAGCUAACGCAUUAAGUUCCCCGCCUGGGGAGUACGGCCGCAAGGCUAAAACUCAAAGGAAUUGACGGGGGCCCGCACAAGCGGCGGAGCAUGCGGAUUAAUUCGAUGCAACGCGAAGAACCUUACCAAGGCUUGACAUAUACCGGAAACGUCCAGAGAUGGUCGCCCCGCAAGGUCGGUAUACAGGUGGUGCAUGGUUGUCGUCAGCUCGUGUCGUGAGAUGUUGGGUUAAGUCCCGCAACGAGCGCAACC
RNAcentral lists this ribosomal RNA (1052 nucleotides) under Frigoribacterium faeni. Its description in RNAcentral is "bacterial SSU rRNA". It matches the Rfam family "Bacterial small subunit ribosomal RNA", at positions 38 to 1103 of the family's 1533-position model. Lineage: Bacteria; Bacillati; Actinomycetota; Actinomycetes; Micrococcales; Microbacteriaceae. The record is from RNAcentral.